This 713-nucleotide long non-coding RNA is filed under the name Cavia porcellus (domestic guinea pig). Its description in RNAcentral is "lncRNA (ENSCPOG00000034168.1)". Lineage: Eukaryota; Metazoa; Chordata; Mammalia; Rodentia; Caviidae. The record is from RNAcentral.
AUGAACAUGAACUUUCACCCCCUUCUGCCACUGUCUCACCAGGUGGCUGGUGCCAAUCCAGUCUUAGGCUGAAUCUGAGACUUACUGCCUGCAAAGACAAAGGAUAUUUCUCUCCAGCUGCCCUGGAUAAAGACAACGUGUGCAUUGUCAGAACAUGCAGUUUCUUGGAGGAUCCAGGCUAAGACACUGAUGUUAUCCCACCACCCCCAGCCUCUGAAUGCUGCAGCAGCUUCUGGGCUCCUUGGACCCACCUCAUGCAACGUAAACUGACCUACAGUGAUGUCCCAUCAUUCCUGGCUCAUUAAUGAGAAAGGUCUGUUACAUUUCCCAGAAUGGUUCCCAGCGCUGGAGAUAAUUCCUUUUCGGAGAACCUACAUUUCUCACCUGCUGAUUGCAAUUAGCCACUGCCAGCUGGGGCCUGGUGUGCAGCUGAAAAGCUAACAAGAAGUGGAGACCACGCGGAACCCAGACAGGGCAGAGAAGGUGCAUAAAUAAGGAAUGGUGCCCGUGUUCAUCAGGGGCUUCUGUGAAUUUGAGGCUUCUUGACCUUCUACAUAGACCCCCUCUUCUGACUCUGUGCUGCCUGCCCGUCCCCUGAUUAUUAUUAUUUUUCCUCUGGGUUUGUAGCCUGCACUUAACAUCACAGUCAUGAUUUUACCACUAAAUACAUUUUGUUGGGCAGUAAACAGCCUUGGAAAAAAAAUGAAAUCCGA